RNAcentral lists this long non-coding RNA (2400 nucleotides) under Homo sapiens (human). Its description in RNAcentral is "HSALNT0377173". Lineage: Eukaryota; Metazoa; Chordata; Mammalia; Primates; Hominidae. The record is from RNAcentral.
GUGUGUGUGUAUGUGUAUGUGUGUGUGUGUGUGUGUGUGUAUAUAUGACAGAUUUUAACUCUGGCCAAGAAAAGCCAUUCCCAGUAGAAAUCAUCCCGAACCACAACUCAACUGUGGGCCUGAGGCAGCCAAGAAAUAAUCUUUUUAAAUAUUCUGAUCAGGGACUUGGAAAACAGAAAAUUUAAAACUUCAGCUCAGAAGUGUAUGAUUAACUCUGAGCGGAUGUGGUGGUUCUAGCCACGUAAUUUUAGGCGUUCUAAUUGGCAGUUUAAAAAUAGCAGAGUCGCAGGCUGCUCCUCGGUGCUGCUUCUCGCUUUGUUUCGCCCAUGAGUAUGCACUGUACUUAAGGAGUCUUAAGGCUGCUGGCGACGGGCUGGGAACCAGGACUCUUAUCUCCCGUCUCCCAGGUCUGCCGGACUCUGUCCUGACACACCACAGCGUCAUAAAAACUUGUGUUUUCUUAGGAUUCCUCCUAGCCGCCGGCUCACAGACAUAUUCCUCUUCCUUCUCUAAUAACUAGGUGCUUAAAGGUAGUGCUUCGAUGAUAAUAUUCAAGUAAAUCAAUUUCUGGGUACCUGAAACUUCCAGCUGAGCUGCGUCAUUUGCUUGCCAGGUAACAAGUACUUCAGGAUGUCAUCAAGAAAAGGAAAACACUGAUUUCAAAUAACCAAUUAUUUACAAAAUUCUUUCCCAUAUCUGUGUGAGGCAAGGUCCGCAAGAUAAAACAAAUGUUUGUUUCUCUUUACUGCUGUUUCCAUGGGCAGCAAGAUGACACAUCAGCGUAGACACCCACGAGGGAGCUGCAUUUUUCCCUUUUGCAUUUCCAAGGAACCCCAGGAGUCCCAUCUGGUCUAACAUAAAGUCAUGUAUCUUUACCUAAUUUUGGCCUCUGAGUUUUCCUUCUGGGAGACACUUGCUGCUUCACUGUGGAGGGGUCUAGGGGUAGAAAGCCAGCUGGAGCUGUGGAGCUGUUUAUAACACCCCAAGGACUGUUGUUCUGCCCCAAGCAGGGGGUUUGUUGGGGCCCAUGCAGGGGGAGUCUCAACGGGCAAUCCCCCGUUCCUCGUGGGAUGUGGUUUAUCAUUCCUGCUUUGAGUUUCAUUAACAUGGAAUCUUGCACUUUCCCAACCAAUGACGCCACAAAAGAAUAAACUAUAUUAAGUCCAUAAAUCUCAGACUGCCAAGUCCCUGGAAUAUCAACUGAUGAAACUCUCCGCUUUCUAACCUGAGGGAGAAGAGCAGGCUUAUUUAAGAGAGAUCAGAUUUUUUUAUACAGUAUCAGAUUUGUACUCCAAGUCUUUCAAAACUUGACAGAAGGGUCAUCCAAAGCUGCCUUCCUGCUUUCCAGGUAUGAAUCCAGAGCUGCAGUCCAUAAGGCCAUAAGAAAUAUAGGCAUGGGUAUAAAGGGACAUGGAAGCCAAAAAGCCAUCAUCUGGCCAUCUGAAUCUGGCCCUGCAAUUGUCUCUUCACUCAUGAAUACGUGAUUUUACUUGCCAGCAGAAACAGCUGACAGAGGAUAGCCUCUGCCUCCCAUCUGCCUUCCAACCAAGCAAGUAUCAUUUGAUGACUUUUCACCUCUGCAGAAUAGUACGACACCAUAAAAGAGGGGUGGAAAUGGGGUUGAGAUCUACAGCCUAAGUAUCCCUCACUGACUCCCAAUAUAGCCAGGUGAUUUGACUGGUUAUUUAUUCUUGGCCUCCUUCAAGGUUUUCACCUGACCCACACAAACCUUGGUGUCCCCGAGGUUCUAUCCUCAGCCAUGGCUUUUCUUGCCCAACAGGCUAACGGAUGAUUCAUACUUGGAGAUUCGUACUUGGGAGAUCACCUCCAUUCUCUCGCCCUCAGCUAGUAUUUAACUCAAUAUCUGUAGCUAACACCUCUCCCCUGAACUUCAAAUUAAUAUAUCCAACUCUCUGCCAGACAGCUCCAGUUAGAUAUUCCAGGUAAUGUGAAGUCAACCUAUCACUAAGGCUGUACUUGUUUCUCUUCUUAUUGCGAUUCCAGUUACUAUGAAUGUCACCAUCAUCGACCCAGGCACCCAGGCUGCAUUCCUCAACUAUAUGUAGAGCUCAUUCCUUUGCCUCAUCUCUCAUAUUCGCUAUCCAAGAACUACCUGUUUUGUCAUCUAAAUCUUUCUCAUUCAUCUUGUCCUCUCCAGCCCUGCUACCACUGUCCUAGUUCAAGCCCCUGUCGUUUCCCACCUAGAUUUCUGCAGCAGCUUCCUAGUUGAUUUUCCUAGAUCCAGUCUUCAACUCAGCUCUGUCUUCUGUGUAGUUGACAAUGAUGGUAUUAUACACAAGCUUGAUUACAUCAGCUACCUGCUCAAACCUGUUCCAUGGUUCUUCAACACCUGUUGCAAUGGCCUUAAACUCUGCUGCACAUCAAAAUCUAUAUAGAGUC